CCCUAUGGGGUGCAGCAGGCGAGAAAACUUUGCAAUGUGCGAAAGCACGACAAGGUUAAUCCGAGUGGUUUCUGCUAAAGGAACCUUUUGCCAGUCCUAGAAACACCAGUGAAUAAGGGGUGGGCAAGUUCUGGUGUCAGCCGCCGCGGUAAAACCAGCACCUCAAGUGGUCAGGAUGAUUAUUGGGCCUAAAGCAUCCGUAGCCUGCUUUGCCAGUUUUCGGUUAAAUCCGUACGCUUAACGUAUGGGCUGCCGGAAAUACUGCAAAGCUAGGGAGUGGGAGAAGUAGACGGUACUCGGUAGGAAGGGGUAAAAUCCUUUGAUCUAUUGAUGACCACCUGUGGCGAAGGCGGUCUACCAGAACACGUCCGACGGUGAGGGAUGAAAGCUGAGGGAGCAAACCGGAUUAGAUACCCGGGUAGUCCCAGCUGUAAACUAUGCAAACUCGGUGAUGCAUUGGCUUGAUGCCAAUGCAGUGCCGCAGGGAAGCCGUUAAGUUUGCCGCCUGGGAAGUACGUACGCAAGUAUGAAACUUAAAGGAAUUGGCGGGGGAGCACCACAAGGGGUGAAGCCUGCGGUUCAAUUGGAGUCAACGCCAGAAAUCUUACCCGGAGAGACAGCAGAAUGAAAGGUCAAGCUGAAGACUUUACCAGACAAGCUGAGAGGAGGUGCAUGGCCAA
RNAcentral lists this ribosomal RNA (680 nucleotides) under uncultured marine group I thaumarchaeote. Its description in RNAcentral is "bacterial SSU rRNA". It matches the Rfam family "Archaeal small subunit ribosomal RNA", at positions 321 to 1001 of the family's 1478-position model. The record is from RNAcentral. Lineage: Archaea; Thermoproteati; Nitrososphaerota.